GGCAAUUAAGCUAAAAAAUAUUAAUGAAAGUCCCGCGUAAUUUUAUCAAAAGAUUUAUCCGUUUAUUUAUUAAACACGAAAACGACAGAGAAUCUGUACCAUGUACAAAGUUUGCAGCAUUGUCGGCCGUUUGUCGGGUGAGUGUAGACAAGGGAUGAAAUGCUGAUGCGUGCGCCGUUAAAUGAGGAAAAAUACAGGGCGUCGCGACGCCCCACGGAAUCGGAAAUGCGACGAGCGCUUUAAAGUUUAAACAGUAGUUGCCGGCAGGACUCUAGGCUCUGCGACAUACGUAAGCUCUGUAACCUCGCGUAAAAUAGGUUAGAACAAUUAAAUGUUAAAUCUGAGAAUGGUGGGGAUGCCGCUGCUAGAGGUUGUGACUGCAAGAGUUGGGGACGGUCGGGUCGACAUACGAGGUGAAGGUGAAUCAGGAUACAGAAAGUUGGAAAGGGAUAGAGCAUCUUGUACAUGCACGUAAUUAAACAGAAGCGAACAUAUCCCAACCGUGCCUGAGUCUCUCGCUGCAAUUUCUAUUCUACUGGGACAUUCCGUACAACAUUAUCAACCUAGUCUGUAUUCAUUGCCAAGUGGAAACUUUAUACGUGGGAAAAUUGAGGUUAUAUUAAACGAGGGUCAUAGAGGGGAUAGGAUCGUUCGAUAUGGCGAUUCGAGAAGAUACCUGAAUUCGAUAUCAAAGCAAGAUAAAGUGUCGUCGAAUAAUUUUAAUUGAAAAGCUUAAUCAUAGUGAGAAAAAAAUUGACGAAAGAUCAGCCCUGCAGGAAAAUUCGUUCUACGGCUAUAUUUUCCUGCUAACGUAUUUAUAAUGCUCGUAUCGUUUCUGCCUGCGCCUUAAAUUUAGAAGGGAGGUUUACCCUUCGAAAGCUUAAAAGCUUCUUUGUCCGUUGAUGCGCGAGUGGGCGUAAAGCUUGAUGGGAAUAUAAGUGGCGGGACGUAGACGACGUAUCUCCAUAAUACGCCUAUGGGAAAGCCCAAUUGGUCGGAUUACGUAAGAAGAGUACAGCGAAGUGCACGCCAAGCCAUGCAAAUAUCAGGAGUUCGACCAGGAAUCCGUUUAACGGGAACUUGGGGUAGCUACUUCUAGGCGAGGUCGAGGAAGAGCUAAAAGGAUGUAAAAGGACGGAGGAACGCUUUGAGGCUACUGGGAACUUUUGCAUAGCGGGAAACAAGCAACAAAUGCGCGGGCCACGAUGUUGCUCGACGCUACCGGGCCCCAGGGGCGUAUUAUUUAUUAACUGUAAUAUCGGAUAUUGCAUUAAAACUUUUCUCGAGCAUGCACUAGCACCCGUCCUUGUA
Long non-coding RNA from Cephus cinctus (wheat stem sawfly), 1311 nucleotides. RefSeq lists it as uncharacterized. Lineage: Eukaryota; Metazoa; Arthropoda; Insecta; Hymenoptera; Cephidae. The transcript is spliced from 2 exons. The record is from RefSeq and is a predicted model, not a curated record.